CACCCUGGAAACCCCCUUCGAUGACCUCCAGAGCCUCCCAAACGACGUGAUCUCUUCCCUGAAGAACAGGCUGAAAAAGGUCUCCACAACCACUGGGGAUGGUGUGGCCAGAGCGUUCCUCAAGGCCCAGGCCGCUUUCUUCGGUAGCUACCGAAACGCUCUGAAAAUCGAGCCGGAGGAGCCGAUCACCUUCUGUGAGGAAGCCUUCGUGUCCCACUACCGCUCCGGAGCCAUGAGGCAGUUCCUGCAGAACGCCACGCAGCUGCAGCUCUUCAAGCAGUUUAUUGAUGGUCGAUUAGAUCUUCUCAAUUCUGGCGAAGGUUUCAGUGAUGUUUUUGAAGAGGAAAUCAACAUGGGCGAGUACGCUGGCAGUGACAAACUGUACCAUCAGUGGCUGUCCACCGUCCGGAAAGGAAGUGGAGCAAUUCUGAAUACUGUAAAGACCAAAGCAAAUCCGGCCAUGAAGACUGUCUACAAGUUCGCAAAAGAUCAUGCAAAAAUGGGAAUAAAAGAGGUGAAAAACCGCUUGAAGCAAAAGGACAUUGCCGAGAAUGGCUGCGCCCCCACCCCAGAGGAGCAGCUGCCAAAGACUGCACCGUCCCCACUGGUGGAGGCCAAGGACCCCAAGCUCCGAGAAGACCGGCGACCAAUCACAGUCCACUUUGGACAGCUGCAGAGACUGCGUCCCACCCGACCGCCUCCCAAGAUACAGCGCUCGAGGCCCGUGAGUAGCCGGUGGUUCUGCCCUCCCCACCUAACACUGCCUGAACCAUUCUCCCUCAGCCUGACUAAACCUCCGGAGUUUGGACCCUCCUGCCUGGCAAAAGAAAACUGGGAAUUGGGUUUUUCAGCUUCCCUCUCUGUGUGGCAUGAACUUGAGCUUGCAUUUUCUGAGCUUCUCUCGCUUUUUUGUGAAUAAGUUUGGUGACUUGCAGAUCAGAGCCAUAGGUAGCAAGGGGGCCACUGUGUGGUGUGUGUGCUGUGUGUGCAUCAUUUGAUUGCUCACAGGGUGAGCAACAGGUUGAAAGCCUUCCUCCAUAUGCCUGUUCCUCACAAAGGAAGCAGAAGUCCAGGGGCAAGGGUCUCAUUCCUGCCAGAUCUUGGUCUGGAAAUGCAUUUAUACCUUCCCAUGGGUGGAGGCUAUGUCCAGGGAGUAUGGAGCCAGCUCAUAUGGAUGCAGGUACCGCUGCCUUGCCAGGCCUUC
RNAcentral lists this small RNA (1204 nucleotides) under Pongo abelii (Sumatran orangutan). RNAcentral's name for it is "processed transcript". The record is from RNAcentral. Lineage: Eukaryota; Metazoa; Chordata; Mammalia; Primates; Hominidae.